This 199-nucleotide small nucleolar RNA is filed under the name Carlito syrichta (Philippine tarsier). Its description in RNAcentral is "Small nucleolar RNA U3 (ENSTSYG00000021474.2)". It matches the Rfam family "Small nucleolar RNA U3". Rfam says of the family: Small nucleolar RNAs (snoRNAs) are involved in the processing and modification of rRNA in the nucleolus. The record is from RNAcentral. Lineage: Eukaryota; Metazoa; Chordata; Mammalia; Primates; Tarsiidae.
AAGCCUGGCCUCUACAGUUUAUUAUUAGAGAAGUUUCUCUGAUUGUGUUGGCCUCAGGAAGCCAUGAGGAGGAGGUACAGCAUUCUCUCCUGAGCCUGCAGCUGGCUCUUGGUGUUGUUUUUCUGAAACUCCCACUUGCCGCUGAUGGUUAUUCUUCUCUUCCUCUGGGAGGGCAAGUGGGAGAGGAUGCAGCCUGGGU